CCUACGGGAGGCAGCAGUAAGGAAUAUUGGUCAAUGGAGGCAACUCUGAACCAGCCAUGCCGCGUGCAGGAUGAAGGCCCUAUGGGUCGUAAACUGCUUUUACACAAGAGAAAACCCGAGUACGUGUACUCGGUUGAUAGUAUUGUGAGAAUAAGCAUCGGCUAACUUCGUGCCAGCAGCCGCGGUAAGACGAAGGAUGCAAGCGUUAUCCGGAUUCAUUGGGUUUAAAGGGUGCGUAGGCGGACCUGUAAGUCAGUGGUGAAAUCUCUUUGCUUAACAAAGAAACUGCCAUUGAUACUGCAAGUCUAGAGUAUAGAUGACGUUGGCGGAAUAUGACAUGUAGUGGUGAAAUACUUAGAUAUGUCAUAGAACACCGAUUGCGAAGGCAGCUAACGAAACUAUAACUGACGCUGAGGCACGAAAGUGCGGGGAUCAAACAGGAUUAGAUACCCUGGUAGUCCGCACCGUAAACGAUGAUUACUCGUUGUUGGCAUAUGACCUCAGCGACCAAGCGAAAGCGANAAGUAAUCCACCUGGGGAGUACGCCGCGAACGGUGAAACUCGAAAGGAAGUUGACGG
This 579-nucleotide ribosomal RNA is filed under the name uncultured bacterium. Its description in RNAcentral is "bacterial SSU rRNA". It matches the Rfam family "Bacterial small subunit ribosomal RNA", at positions 338 to 916 of the family's 1533-position model. The record is from RNAcentral.